AUAUUUAUAAUAAAGUGAGAAAAGAGUGAAGAAAAUCUAAAGAGAAGAACCUAAGAAUCUUAAAUCUAUGAAAAGGAAGAAAUUAGUUAAUGUUUAGAUGUUAAUUGCAAUAAACUUAAACAAGCAUGGACUCUCUAUCCUAAGGUUAACUUAGAUAUAGACAGCUCCUAACUUUCAAGACCGCCUUUGAGCACUCUAAGCUCAAGACUGACUAACUGACUCGACC
Molecule: long non-coding RNA, 226 nt
Filed under: Elaeis guineensis (African oil palm)
Lineage: Eukaryota; Viridiplantae; Streptophyta; Magnoliopsida; Arecales; Arecaceae
Description: long non-coding RNA (EGUI_LNC081114)
Source: RNAcentral